This 1282-nucleotide long non-coding RNA is filed under the name Apteryx owenii (little spotted kiwi). RNAcentral's name for it is "lncRNA (ENSAOWG00000017733.1)". The record is from RNAcentral. Lineage: Eukaryota; Metazoa; Chordata; Aves; Apterygiformes; Apterygidae.
AUGUUUCAUGAAUCUAUCAAAGGCCUUGGUGAACAAACUGAUCCUUCAGCUGAAGUUGAUGACACAAUGUAUCAAGCAAAUGUGAGGCCAAGUUCAAGCACAGCCAUCCAUACCUCAAGCUCCACACUGACUCGUUCAGGUAGUUCCAGCAGACCUAGAAAGUCAAUCUUCAUCUCUUCUUGGUACAGUACCAUCUACAGAAAUCAGAGCAUAAACGCAGAGCGAGAAAGGGCAGCAACAACAAGAGCAGAAGAAAGCAGUGUGCCUGGGAGAGGGGUAUGAGGAGAAAAAGAGAGAAUUUUCUUUGAUGUAUUCGUUUCCUCUUAUUAGUAUCCAUCUAGUGGUGCUCAGGCUGAGAUAGCUGACCUGUCCAAAAGUUAGUGAUCCAAACACAAUCCACUCCCAAUAGUGCAAAAGUACAGACAUCACAGAAUGAAAAUAGCAGAAGUCAAGAUGAAGGAAGAAACCAUGGGCUGCUAGAUAUGAGUGGGAAUAACCUAAGUUCACCCAAGUGGCAGAAGUACUAUCUUCGUUUGCGGAGAGUGAAGAAAAAAAAAUGUCUUAACAGUCUCAUUUUCCCACCUAUAAGCACAUCUCUUCUGUGUUUGCUAUGCUGCUACUGCUAAAGACUGCCCACACUUGAAAGGGCCUGGCAGGCUACGAGGUCAGCCUUGCACAGUUUCCUCUAAUUGCGUGGGUCUGGCUGACCUCCUUACUCCGGAGCAAGGAAGGAUAACAGCAGACAGAGAUGACAGCGGAAAAAGCCUGGCAAAACUUUUCCUGCGCCUGUGGCAGGAGACUGUCUAUUAUCACAGACCACGAUUUCCGUAAUAUAGACUCUCAAGAAACACUGGCUGUCAGUAGGGUGCUACGUAGGGUGUUUUGGUUGCCAGGCCACCGCCAAGGUGGGAGGCUGGUGUCCUUGCCCUGCUGCAGAUGCUCACGUUCAGAGGGGAUGGAGUGAAAGCCACAGGGUGUUGGACACAACAAUUAAUCUAGCCUGCCCAGAGAAGAGGAUGGCAAGCUUUGGUCUGCCCCACUCUCUCAGCGUUCACAUUCCACGUUAAGGCAUUUGGUUGUUUUCCUAUAAAGGCCUACAAGAUGGAAAAGGAGGGAAGAUGCGUGUGCAUCCAGGUAUCCAUGAACCACUCCUGUUCUCUGCUUGUUCUGUCGCUUCCUUCAGCUGCGGUCCUGGAGGUGUUAUACCCCUCGUUUUGUCUCCAUUUCUUAAUCGAGAGGAUGUUUCGUGCGCUGUGGUGUUUUGCUCUGUGGCUGGUGAGAU